Molecule: ribosomal RNA, 465 nt
Filed under: uncultured bacterium
Lineage: Bacteria
Description: partial 16S ribosomal RNA
Rfam family: Bacterial small subunit ribosomal RNA
Source: RNAcentral
CCUACGGGGGGCAGCAGUAGGGAAUCUUCCACAAUGGGCGAGAGCCUGAUGGAGCAACGCCGCGUGGGUGAAGAAGGUCUUCGGAUCGUAAAACCUUGUUGUUAGAGAAGAAAGAGCGUGAGAGUAACUGUUCACGUUUCGACGGUAUCUAACCAGAAAGCCACGGCUAACUACGUGCCAGCAGCCGCGGUAAUACGUAGGUGGCAAGCGUUAUCCGGAUUUAUUGGGCGUAAAGGGAACGCAGGCGGUCUUUUAAGUCUGAUGUUAAAGCCUUCGGCUUAACCGGAGUAGUGCAUUGGAAACUGGGAGACUUGAGUGCAGAAGAGGAGAGUGGAACUCCAUGUGUAGCGGUGAAAUGCGUAGAUAUAUGGAAGAACACCAGUGGCGAAGGCGGCUCUCUGGUCUGUAACUGACGCUGAGGUUCGAAAGCGUGGGUAGCAAACAGGAUUAGAUACCCUAGUAGUC